This 305-nucleotide ribosomal RNA is filed under the name uncultured bacterium. RNAcentral's name for it is "bacterial SSU rRNA". It matches the Rfam family "Bacterial small subunit ribosomal RNA", at positions 338 to 641 of the family's 1533-position model. The record is from RNAcentral.
CCUACGGGGGGCAGCAGUGAGGAAUAUUGGUCAAUGGUCGGGAGACUGAACCAGCCAAGCCGCGUGAGGGAGGAAGGUACAGAGUAUCGUAAACCUCUUUUGCCGGGGAGCAAAAAGCGGUACGUGUACCGCAUCGAGAGUACCCGGAGAAAAAGCAUCGGCUAACUCCGUGCCAGCAGCCGCGGUAAUACGGAGGAUGCGAGCGUUAUCCGGAUUUAUUGGGUUUAAAGGGUGCGCAGGCGGCGAGUUAAGUCAGCGGUAAAAUUUCGGGGCUCAACCCCGACAAGCCGUUGAAACUGGCUUGC